GAUGAACGCUGGCGGCGUGCCUAAUACAUGCAAGUCGAGCGAACGGACGAGAAGCUUGCUUCUCUGAUGUUAGCGGCGGACGGGUGAGUAACACGUGGAUAACCUACCUAUAAGACUGGGAUAACUUCGGGAAACCGGAGCUAAUACCGGAUAAUAUUUUGAACCGCAUGGUUCAAAAGUGAAAGACGGUCUUGCUGUCACUUAUAGAUGGAUCCGCGCUGCAUUAGCUAGUUGGUAAGGUAACGGCUUACCAAGGCAACGAUGCAUAGCCGACCUGAGAGGGUGAUCGGCCACACUGGAACUGAGACACGGUCCAGACUCCUACGGGAGGCAGCAGUAGGGAAUCUUCCGCAAUGGGCGAGAGCCUGACGGAGCAACGCCGCGUGAGUGAUGAAGGUCUUCGGAUCGUAAAACUCUGUUAUUAGGGAAGAACAUAUGUGUAAGUAACUGUGCACAUCUUGACGGUACCUAAUCAGAAAGCCACGGCUAACUACGUGCCAGCAGCCGCGGUAAUACGUAGGUGGCAAGCGUUAUCCGGAAUUAUUGGGCGUAAAGCGCGCGUAGGCGGUUUUUUAAGUCUGAUGUGAAAGCCCACGGCUCAACCGUGGAGGGUCAUUGGAAACUGGAAAACUUGAGUGCAGAAGAGGAAAGUGGAAUUCCAUGUGUAGCGGUGAAAUGCGCAGAGAUAUGGAGGAACACCAGUGGCGAAGGCGACUUUCUGGUCUGUAACUGACGCUGAUGUGCGAAAGCGUGGGGAUCAAACAGGAUUAGAUACCCUGGUAGUCCACGCCGUAAACGAUGAGUGCUAAGUGUUAGGGGGUUUCCGCCCCUUAGUGCUGCAGCUAACGCAUUAAGCACUCCGCCUGGGGAGUACGACCGCAAGGUUGAAACUCAAAGGAAUUGACGGGGACCCGCACAAGCGGUGGAGCAUGUGGUUUAAUUCGAAGCAACGCGAAGAACCUUACCAAAUCUUGACAUCCUUUGACAACUCUAGAGAUAGAGCCUUCCCCUUCGGGGGACAAAGUGACAGGUGGUGCAUGGUUGUCGUCAGCUCGUGUCGUGAGAUGUUGGGUUAAGUCCCGCAACGAGCGCAACCCUUAAGCUUAGUUGCCAUCAUUAAGUUGGGCACUCUAAGUUGACUGCCGGUGACAAACCGGAGGAAGGUGGGGAUGACGUCAAAUCAUCAUGCCCCUUAUGAUUUGGGCUACACACGUGCUACAAUGGACAAUACAAAGGGCAGCGAAACCGCGAGGUCAAGCAAAUCCCAUAAAGUUGUUCUCAGUCCGGAUUGUAGUCUGCAACUCGACUACAUGAAGCUGGAAUCGCUAGUAAUCGUAGAUCAGCAUGCUACGGUGAAUACGUUCCCGGGUCU
Molecule: ribosomal RNA, 1372 nt
Filed under: uncultured bacterium
Lineage: Bacteria
Description: bacterial SSU rRNA
Rfam family: Bacterial small subunit ribosomal RNA
Source: RNAcentral